RNAcentral lists this ribosomal RNA (252 nucleotides) under uncultured bacterium. RNAcentral describes it as "partial 16S ribosomal RNA". It matches the Rfam family "Bacterial small subunit ribosomal RNA", at positions 524 to 776 of the family's 1533-position model. The record is from RNAcentral.
UACGGGGGGGCAAGCGUUGUUCGGAAUUACUGGGCGUAAAGGGCUCGUAGGUUGCCAACUAAGUCAGACGUGAAAUCCCUCGGCUUAACCGGGGAACUGCGUCUGAUACUGGAUGGCUUGAGUUCGGGAGAGGGAUGCAGAAUUCCAGGUGUAGCGGUGAAAUGCGUAGAUAUCUGGAGGAACACCGGUGGCGAAGGCGGCAUCCUGGACCGACACUGACACUGAGGAGCGAAAGCCAGGGGAGCAAACGGG